Small nuclear RNA from Suncus etruscus (white-toothed pygmy shrew), 108 nucleotides. The record is from RefSeq and is a predicted model, not a curated record. Lineage: Eukaryota; Metazoa; Chordata; Mammalia; Eulipotyphla; Soricidae.
UGUCUUAUACGCCAGAAAAUAUGGUACUAAAAUUGGAACAAAGAGAGAAGAUUAGCAUGGGCCCUGGCCAAGGAUUACACACAAAUUUGUGAAGCAUUUCAUAUUAAA